Cuculus canorus (common cuckoo) is the source of this 3614-nucleotide long non-coding RNA. RefSeq lists it as uncharacterized. The record is from RefSeq and is a predicted model, not a curated record. NCBI's taxonomy places the organism in Eukaryota, Metazoa, Chordata, Aves, Cuculiformes, Cuculidae. The transcript is spliced from 9 exons.
AGGCGUGUGCGUUGCAUCGGGAAGAGCCCGUGCCUGUAGUGAUGGAGAAGGUGGUACCAGGCAGUUCUGCGGGGCAGCAGAUACCUCCUCUGACUUUGCUUUUUUUCCCCGCUGCAAAACAGCCUGCUGCUUCCCUGGGUGAAGGAUCUGGCAUAGAAAGGAUUUUGUGGUCAGUGGAAAAAAAUGAGGAAGAGGAGGGUGUGGCUGCCACUCACAGGACCUGGCCCUGCUGAGGGGCACUGGCUUGUGGAGAUGCGGUCCUUCAUCGUGACAAAAUGAAGACUUCUUUUAGCCGCCCAUUGUUGCUGCCGGGCGCUGGCAGCCGGGGGGCACUUUGUGGCAAGGGGAGCGGGCGGAGGAGCAGCCGCAGCCGGUUGCUAAGGAGACUGCAGAGAUGCAAGGUGAACACCAGCCACCACCACCCCACGGGCGGCUGAUGGGUGUACCGACCUGGAUGUCGUCUUCCUGUAAGGCGUGUGAAAUUUACAGUGGAAGAAUUACAGUUCUACAUUGAAAAACCUCUUUCUCGUCUGAACUGUCAUUCAAAAUGCAUGAUGAAAGUAGCUGAAGAGAAGUUUUCUAUCACGUCGUCUGCAGGACUCCUAGAAGGUUCUUCUGAAACCUGGGCACAUCUGUCUCGGGCUGCCCCUAGUAGUCUGGAAAAAUGAACUCAAGGCACACAAGGAGAAGACAUAUGAGACUAAUCUGCAGCGUGUUCAGGUUCACUAAUAACAUACAAACCAGAGUCUGCUUACCAUUGUCUAUUCCGAAUAUAAUGUCAAUGCAAACAAGGAAGACUUAGUAGUAGGACUUCAACUAUUUGAAAAAGAAUGACAUUCUGGGGAGCCAAGAUAGAUGAAAGAAGUGAAGACUGGUCAUCUGUGCAGAGCAAAUAACAAGUUCCCCAUUAUGCUGAAAGCAGAAGCAGAUCACUUCAGUUACCCUGAAAUGUGACCUACUGCCUUUGGGGUGAGGUCUACUUUAUAAUGAAACAUGACUUUAGUUUAUCAAUGUGGCUGGUGUAUGUAUCAUUUAUUGUUUUCUUUAGUUACCUGUUAACAAAAAUUAAGUUAGUUGGUUAAGUUAGGGGUUUUGCUUAAAAAGUUUGCUUGUUAAUUAAAGCGGUAUUUAUAUUACACUAUGGACUGGUAUCUCAGUUAUUUCCCCUUCUUUAGAUCUUGAAUAAAAAGUGUUGUGGUCCUUCAAACCAGGUGGCGGGGCACAACUACCCCUUCAAACUCUAGCAAGUGUGAGGUUAGAGUAGAUUAUACUGUAGAGGUAAUUUUGCUAGUCAUAGCAAUCAAAGUCUGUGUAGUACGGUAGGAUAUAUCUGGUUUGGCCAUUGAUUCAGAGCUGGAUUACUGUUCAUUGAGAAAUAGCAUAUUGUUUAAGUAGGCCAUAACAUUUCCUCAUAGUCUUGAUAAAUUCUUUGUUCAGUCUUAUGGAUUUACCCAUGCAGAACUUGGGAAGUGCAGUUAGAGAAACUCAGCUCUUCCUCAUUAGGAUAAUAGAGGAAUAUGUAAAAGCAUGUUAAAUAAUCUCUCUUAAGUCAGUAUCCACUCUCUUAAGUCAUAGUGAUGCCUUUCUUGAAGUGACAAAACUGGUUUGAUAAGAUGCAGUCAUGUCAGAGCUGGAAGUACAAAAGCGCAUUUAUUAAAAAUGAAUGCUGUAUCCUCUUUCCCCUCGUGUAUCUUGUCACUGACAUGACUUCACAAGUUGCAAAUCUAUUAAAUGUUUCAAACAUGAAACUAGAGCUCAUUAAGCAAAAUGUCGACUGGUACAUAGCAAACUGUUUCAGACUCAAGACUGUUAAUAUUUGUCCCCAGAGUUUUUUGUCUUCUAGGUUGUCACCAAGUAAUCCAGCUGUCUGGGAAUACAGCUUGUGUUUCAUCUGACCAGAGUCUGACUGUCCUUUGGGGUGAGGUAGUAGGUUGUAUAGUUUUAGGGUUAUGCCCUGCCUGUCAGAUAACUAUACAAUCUACUGUCUUUCCUGAAGUGGCUGUGAUAUCAUCGCUGGAUAAGUCUACAAAAGACAAAGCAAAUAUUUUUCAACGGUAACAUUCUCUGGCUCUGCCUACAUGUUGGAUUUGGUUCUUAUAGCAGGGUUGUGAAAAAACACAGAUCUCCUUAUUGUGUUUAGAUUCCCGUAUUUCUCACUCAGGUUCAAAAACAAUAUCCUUUUUGUCGUUUUGUCAGAGAAGGUGGGGUGCAAAUUACAGGGCACAGAGGUACAACCCACUCUGCAAUGGACUUGCUCAUGCUGUUUUCUCAGACUGCCAUGAGAGUGACUAUUUAGAAACAGCUGACCCAUUUCCCCAUUACUUGUGGCACCUGUGUUUAUAGUCAAUGGAAAAUGGCACUUUUGAUUUAGCAGCUGUUGAAAUCCAUUUUGCAUAGGCUGUUUGAGAAACUAUGAAGUGAUGAGUUGGACAAAAAACAAAGAUGAUGUCUUCCAGUUGCUCUUUGUUCUGCCCUGGAACUGUUAAAUGUUUGAGCCAUAGGUAAAGAGGUUUCUUAAAUCAGUUUAUAAAAAUGGAUUAAACUUGUCUUUUUAUUACAUAAUGCUAAUCUGGGAGAGACAGUGCUUGCCCCUGUGGUUCUUAUGUCUUUGGAGUCACCCCCCCAAUUCUGACUGACUUCCAGGAAGAACUGUGAAGGAGGGCCAACAGGACAUAAUUAUAGUCAUUCUGGGCCUUUUAAGGCCAAAAAAGUCUGUGGAUAGGAAGUUUUAAGAGGCUCUUACUUGUAGAUGGUGAAGUGUUAGUUUUCUUCAGAAGAUUUACUUGAUGCUCUAACAGGAUGAGGUAGUAGGUUGUGUGGUUUCAGGGUAGUGAUUUUGCCCCAAUCAGGAGAUAACUAUACAACCUACUGCCUUCCCUGAUAAGCAGCAUAACAACAUCAGUGAGUUAAUUCAGAGAAAAACAAGGGUUAGAAUAUACUUCUGUGACCAGCAAAGUAAGUCUACAUACUGUUGAUGUAACCCUGUCCCUAAUAGCUCUAAAUUUAGUGUCUUGCGUUAUUUUUAAUAACAUCCUACAAAAUAGUUGUCUUUUGAAAUUCUUUAUCUUGAAAAAUUGAAUUAAAGAAGUUUUGGUUAUUUCAGAGUUUGUCUGCUUUUGAUCUAUUUCGUUUCUGGUUCAUUUCAGUGGAAUUAAGUUAUCAUGGGAAAUUAUUCCAAAAAUGCUGUGAACUUGCAUUUGACAUCUAAGUUUGAGUGCCACAAAUUUUACUAGCAAUGUGCUGGGUUUUGUUCAACCUUACCUCUCCCUCAGGAAUCUUCCAGUGUUUUACAGAUAAUACUAGAUCAUGUCACACAAUAUUCAGGUCAACUUUAUAUUACAAAUAAAAAGCUGUAGCAAUGAAAAUCCAGACCUAGAUUUUUUUAAAAAACAAAACACAAACCCUGACAUUGAUUUUGUAACCCCCAGUUUCUCAUAAACAGGCCCAUUUCAUGACAUUUAAAUGCCCCCAAAAGAGAAUUCUCUGCAAUCUAAAAUGCACAAAUUGCAUCUGGAAAACCAUAGGCAGAAAAUGCUAAGUAUAUUGAAGACAUUUUGAGAAUACAGUCUUACACCAAAAAACUGGGGGGUAAGGGGAAUAUGACAACAAGGUAU